ACACGGAGGGCGCAAGCGUUGCUCGGAAUCACUGGGCGUAAAGCGGGUGUAGGCGGUCUAGCAAGUCAGAUGUGAAAGCCCACGGCUCAACCGUGGAAGUGCAUCUGAAACUGCUAGACUUGAGUGCCGGAGAGGGAAGUGGAAUUCCUGGUGUAGGGGUGAAAUCCGUAGAUAUCAGGAGGAACACCGGUGGCGAAGGCGACUUCCUGGACGGCCACUGACGCUGAGACCCGAAAGCGUGGGGAGCAAACAGGAGUAGAUACCCUAGUAGUCC
RNAcentral lists this ribosomal RNA (274 nucleotides) under uncultured bacterium. RNAcentral's name for it is "partial 16S ribosomal RNA". It matches the Rfam family "Bacterial small subunit ribosomal RNA", at positions 523 to 796 of the family's 1533-position model. The record is from RNAcentral.